RNAcentral lists this ribosomal RNA (573 nucleotides) under uncultured soil bacterium. RNAcentral's name for it is "bacterial SSU rRNA". It matches the Rfam family "Bacterial small subunit ribosomal RNA", at positions 35 to 620 of the family's 1533-position model. The record is from RNAcentral.
GCUGGCGGCGUGCUUAACACAUGCAAGUCAAGGGGGUCCGCAAGGACAACCGGCGAACGGGUGCGUAACACGUGAGGGACCUGCCUGGAAAUGGGGGAUAGCCGGCCCAACGGCCGGGUAAUACCGCAUACGCUCAUCGAGGGGCAUUCCUUGGUGAGGAAACUUUCGAGGUUUUCAGCGGGGCUCGCGGCCUAUCAGCUUGUUGGCGGGGUAACGGCCCACCAAGGCGACGACGGGUAGCUGGUCUGAGAGGAUGGCCAGCCACAUUGGGACUGAGAGACGGCCCAGACUCCUACGGGAGGCAGCAGUGGGGAAUCUUGCGCAAUGGCCGAAAGGCUGACGCAGCGACGCCGCGUGUGGGAGGAAGCUCUUCGGGGUGUAAACCACUGUUGCCCGGGACGAACAUCUCCUUUUGAGGGGACUGACGGUACCGGGUGAGGAAGCACCGGCUAACUCUGUGCCAGCAGCCGCGGUAAUACAGAGGGUGCGAGCGUUGUCCGGAAUCACUGGGCGUAAAGGGCGCGUAGGCGGCUCGGUAAGGUUGCGGUGAAAGCCCGGGGCUCAACCCCGGGU